UUAGGUUUAAACCCUAAAUAUGAAUAAAUAUCUCAUAUU
RNAcentral lists this transfer RNA (39 nucleotides) under Placobdella ali. RNAcentral's name for it is "partial tRNA-Leu". Lineage: Eukaryota; Metazoa; Annelida; Clitellata; Rhynchobdellida; Glossiphoniidae. The record is from RNAcentral.